RNAcentral lists this ribosomal RNA (538 nucleotides) under Microcoleus steenstrupii. RNAcentral describes it as "bacterial SSU rRNA". It matches the Rfam family "Bacterial small subunit ribosomal RNA", at positions 337 to 885 of the family's 1533-position model. The record is from RNAcentral. Lineage: Bacteria; Bacillati; Cyanobacteriota; Cyanophyceae; Oscillatoriales; Microcoleaceae.
UCCUACGGGAGGCAGCAGUGGGGAAUUUUCCGCAAUGGGCGAAAGCCUGACGGAGCAAGACCGCGUGAGGGAGGAAGGCUCUUGGGUUGUAAACCUCUUUUAUCAGGGAAGAACACAAUGACGGUACCUGAAGAAUCAGCAUCGGCUAACUCCGUGCCAGCAGCCGCGGUAAUACGGAGGAUGCAAGCGUUAUCCGGAAUUAUUGGGCGUAAAGCGUCCGCAGGUGGCUAAUCAAGUCUGCUGUCAAAGGCCGGGGCUUAACCCCGGAAAGGCCAGUGGAAACUGAUAAAGCUAGAGUAGCCGUAGGGGUAGAGGGAAUUCCCGGUGUAGCGGUGAAAUGCGUAGAGAUCGGGAAGAACAUCGGUGGCGAAAGCGCUCUACUGGACGGUAACUGACACUCAGGGACGAAAGCUAGGGGAGCGAAUGGGAUUAGAUACCCCAGUAGUCCUAGCCGUAAACGAUGGAUACUAGGUGUGGCUUGUAUCGACCCGAGCCGUGCCGUAGCUAACGCGUUAAGUAUCCCGCCUGGGGAGUACGC